AUUGAACGCUGGCGGCAUGCUCUACACAUGCAAGUCGAACGGUAACAGGCCGCCAGGUGCUGACGAGUGGCGCACGGGUGCGUAAUGCAUCGGAACGUGCCCAGUCGUGGGGGAAAACUACUCGAAAGAGUAGCCAAUACCGCAUACGAUCUAUGGAUGUAAGCGGGGGACUGUAAGGCCUCGCGCGAUUGGAGCGGCCGCUGUCAGAUUAGGUAGUUGGUGGGGUAAAGGCUCACCAAGCCAACGAUUUGUAGCUGGUCUGAGAGGACGACCAGCCACACUGGGACUGAGACACGGCCCAGACUCCUACGGGAGGCAGCAGUAGGGAAUUUUGGGCAAUGGGCGCAAGCCUGAUCCAGCAAUGCCGCGUGCAGGAAGAAGGCCUUCGGGUUGUAAAAUUCUGUUAUACGGGAAGAAACGGCGCGGGUUAAUACCCGGGGCUAAUGACGGUACCGAAAGAAUAAGCACCGGCUAACUACGUG
Molecule: ribosomal RNA, 482 nt
Filed under: uncultured bacterium
Lineage: Bacteria
Description: partial 16S ribosomal RNA
Rfam family: Bacterial small subunit ribosomal RNA
Source: RNAcentral